Molecule: non-coding RNA, 89 nt
Organism: Pelobates cultripes (western spadefoot toad)
Lineage: Eukaryota; Metazoa; Chordata; Amphibia; Anura; Pelobatidae
Source: the annotation of a GenBank genome assembly
CACCCAUGCUGCUUUUUGCAAAGGCCUCUGAUAAUUCAGUUAGCACCAGGAUGGAAUUAUCAGAGGCCUAUGAAGGAAGUAGCCUGGGC